UACGUAGGGUGCAAGCGUUGUCCGGAAUUAUUGGGCGUAAAGAGCUCGUAGGCGGUUUGUCGCGUCUGGUGUGAAAAUCCAGGGCUUAACCCUGGACCUGCAUCGGGUACGGGCAGACUAGAGUGCGGUAGGGGAGAUCGGAAUUCCUGGUGUAGCGGUGAAAUGCGCAGAUAUCAGGAGGAACACCGGUGGCGAAGGCGGGUCUCUGGGCCGUAACUGACGCUGAGGAGCGAAAGCGUGGGGAGCGAACAGG
This 253-nucleotide ribosomal RNA is filed under the name uncultured bacterium. RNAcentral's name for it is "partial 16S ribosomal RNA". It matches the Rfam family "Bacterial small subunit ribosomal RNA", at positions 524 to 776 of the family's 1533-position model. The record is from RNAcentral.